GGAUAAACAAAGGUGGAAGGCAGCGGCAGGCGGGGGCGGGGAGUGAUAGGGCUGCCCUUCCAACUGGCUGUGAGGGCAAAGGUCGGAGAGUCGAGCAUGGCGUGACCCCAACUGAGACAUCGUCCCCAAAAGGGCCUCGGCAAUCAGGAAGGGCAGAAUGCAGGGAAGGGGACAGAGGGGGAAAGUCUAGGGUCUCUCCCCCCACCCCACCGGCCACCCACUUCUUCCAUGGUAGAUAAAGAUGUAUAAGGCAAGAGACAUUUCUGUACAACUAGCAAGACUAAAAAAGGGAAACUUUCAAGAUCCUCUGAUAGCACAAAACACAUCUGAAAAAAACUUAGGAUGUCUUCUCACUUUUAUGUAUUUUAUUUUAUUUUAAUAUAUGACAUCCAUCUGCAUGGAGCUUAGGGUACAAGGCCUCAAACACAGGAACAUAAAUAAUAUAACAGCACAAGAAAAUCCCUGAAGCUGGAUCAGGCCAUUGGGGGUCCAUUUAGUCCAUUCUCACAGUGGUCAAUCAGAUGCCUUUGGAAAGUGUACAAGCAGAAACUAUGUUCUUAAACAUAGCCAUUGUGGCCAGUAGCCAAUUAUAGUUUUAUCUGCCAUCAAUUUAUCUAAGGUGACUGGAAAUAAUGUGGGGUGCAGGGAGAGUAUCAUGGUGUGUAACACCCACAGCCAGGUCAUAAAAAAUACCCUGCACCAUCUUCUCACACAAGUCUAUAUGGACCCCAGCUUUGCUUACUGGUCAUUUCCCAGGACAACUAACUCCCCUUUCCACUGACCCCUUUCUCUGUUGCAUGCUCAAACAUUAACUCUCCUGUCAUGAGUUCAAAACUAGCAGAAGAACAGCUGGCUAGAUUUUUCUACUAUCUAUGCUGUGCUCUUGAUCAGAAAUCCCUGGUAAAUUACACAGCAUAUUGAGGGCAGACCCCUUCCUUGAACAAGGCAGCAACCAGCCAGGGACUGGAAGGGAAAGAGCCUCUUUGCAAACCAAAGAAUAUGAGAAGAAGCAUUUCUUCCUGGCACAGCCCCAUGGGAGCCUGCCCACAACACCUCUGUCUCAGGUUCCUCCUGCCAGUGAGAGAGGGUCUCAGGCAGACCCGGAGCCAAGCAGAAAGCAGAUGCCACUUGAAGAACCCUGGCAGGCUGUGCCGAGGGUAAUAAGGCAGCAGAUCCAAGCUUUGCUCCAGCUCAGACUGGCUGCUACUUUUAUGAAGCCAUUUACUCCCUGGCCCUUGUUCAGCUGCCAAGCUCAGACCUUGUUUGGGUCUCUUCCCCUAAAGGAGCUGGGUUGCCUAGAGAAGACGUGUCAGAAGAGCACUGGUGCAUUUAUUUAGACCAGGGGCGCAGGGAAUUCUUUUUCAGCCCAACGUUCACACACCCUCCUUGACAAUUUUCUGAGGGCCACAUGUCAGUGCAACCAGAGGCAAAAAUGGACAGAGCCAUUCAUGUACAUUUUAUACCUAGGAUUGCAUGAGCCUCAUUUGCCACUGCGUCACACUGCUGACUCUUGUUCAGCCUGUGGUCCCCACAGCUGAAAACCAUUUUCAAUGACCAUUAAAUCAUUCCCAGUUAACAUUUGUUGUUGCUUUCUAAAAAGGUUAUUAUAAGUUUUUGCAGUGGUACCUCUGGUUAAGAACUUAAUUCAUUCCGGAGGUCCGUUCUUAACCUGAAACUGUUCUUAAUCUGAGGUACCACUUUAGCUAAUGGACCCUCCCACUGCUGCCGCGCCGCCGCCAUGCGAUUUCUGUUCUCAUCCUGAGGUAAAGUUCUUAACCCAAGGUACUACUUCGGGGUUAGCGGAGUCUGCAACCUGAAGCGUUUGUAACCCGAAGUGUUUGUAAUCCGAGGUACCACUGUAUUUAAAUCAAAAACCCUAAAAAUGACAUGCACCACUUUCAAAGAGGCAUCCCUUCCUUGCCUUUACAGUCAGAACAGAAAGGAAUGCCUCUUCUGACAAGAAUUCACACCACGACAUUCACUGACGUUACCUAAAAACAAAGCAUGCAUUUUUUCCUUCCCAAUUGCAGUUUUAGUCAUAUGCCAACUUAUAAAAGAUUUGGUCAACAGGUUCUUAUUAAUUCACUGUGAUCUCUUUAAUAGGGUAACAGCCCUCAUGAGCAUCACAAGCACUUUCCCAAACUAGUUCUGAAGUUCAGCAUCAGCCACUGGGUAGACGCAAGACUUCUUCAAAGAACAUGAGGCAACACCACAUCCCCACUGCCCAGAUGCCUGCCUGGUAGCCGCUGCUCGAGAAUACAGUUCACUGUGCCUCCACAACAUCUCUCUCUCUACGUAACAGCCCAGGUUCUGGUUAGACAGGGAUAACAGCCCUUCCCACACAUACAGCCAAGAGAGGAACUAGAAGUCUGCAACUGCAACAGAAUAACUAACCCAGCUUGAGAAAAGUGGCAGCCCUUAGGUCAGGUGUGGGAAACCAUUGGUUCUUCAGAUGUCACUGAACUAAAACUCUCUGGCUGUGCUUGCUGGGGCUGGUGGGAGACACCAGUCUGGAGGAGCCCUUGCCUCAGUACAUGCGAGAGUUUGGGGAAACCAGCUGGGCUUCUCUGCCAGGCUGGAAUUAAUAGGAAGGGCUGAGGCAUCCCUAGCAUUGCCCCACACAUUCACCCUCACCUCUCCCAAACAUGAAACCCAGAGACAGGACGUUUGUGGAGAGCAGCAAAAAGGAAGAUUUCCUCCCACAGAGCUUUACCUGCUUUGUUUCUGCUCGACAGGCGGUUGUUAAAGGCACAGGAGUUGGGGGAGUGACACAAUUCUGGCCAAAAGUGUCUUCUGUUACCUUUUUCUUAAAGCGUCCUCUCUCUGCCUGGGAUCACUCUGGGGGCUUCAAGGUGUCUUGGGAUAACAACCUCUGAACUCACUUCAACCUCUGAAAUGUAAGUGCCAACUGUCUCUGUUUACCAGAGGUGGCACCUGUUUCCUGGCUUGUCCCUGGGGCAAAAAAAAAAACCAACCAAAAAAAUCACUGCCCUAUUUUUUCCUUUGUAUGUUUUGACUUUAGGGAAUGCCUUGCUAAAACAUUGCUCUUGUGAGCUGAGCUGCCAGGAGAAUUGCCAGCCAUUCUGAAAGUUCAUCUCCCUCUCCCG
This is a non-coding RNA of Podarcis lilfordi (Lilford's wall lizard), 3107 nucleotides long. NCBI's taxonomy places the organism in Eukaryota, Metazoa, Chordata, Lepidosauria, Squamata, Lacertidae. The record is from the annotation of a GenBank genome assembly.